RNAcentral lists this ribosomal RNA (116 nucleotides) under Edwardsiella tarda. The record is from RNAcentral. RNAcentral also lists the same sequence under 8 other names. Lineage: Bacteria; Pseudomonadati; Pseudomonadota; Gammaproteobacteria; Enterobacterales; Hafniaceae.
CUUGGCGGCGAUAGCGCGGUGGUCCCACCUGACCCCAUGCCGAACUCAGAAGUGAAACGCCGUAGCGCCGAUGGUAGUGUGGGGUCUCCCCAUGCGAGAGUAGGGAACUGCCAAGC